GUGGGGAAUAUUGGACAAUGGGGGGAACCCUGAUCCAGCCAUGCCGCGUGUGUGAAGAAGGCCUUUUGGUUGUAAAGCACUUUAAGCGAGGAGGAGGCUACCGAGAUUAAUACUCUUGGAUAGUGGACGUUACUCGCAGAAUAAGCACCGGCUAACUCUGUGCCAGCAGCCGCGGUAAUACAGAGGGUGCAAGCGUUAAUCGGAUUUACUGGGCGUAAAGCGCGCGUAGGUGGCCAAUUAAGUCAAAUGUGAAAUACCCGAGCUUAACUUGGGAAUUGCAUUCGAUACUGGUUGGCUAGAGUAUGGGAGAGGAUGGUAGAAUUCCAGGUGUAGCGGUGAAAUGCGUAGAGAUCUGGAGGAAUACCGAUGGCGAAGGCAGCCAUCUGGCCUAAUACUGACACUGAGGUGCGAAAGCAUGGGGAGCAAACAGGAUUAGAUACCCUGGUAGUCC
RNAcentral lists this ribosomal RNA (451 nucleotides) under uncultured bacterium. Its description in RNAcentral is "partial 16S ribosomal RNA". It matches the Rfam family "Bacterial small subunit ribosomal RNA", at positions 354 to 796 of the family's 1533-position model. The record is from RNAcentral.